UAUAUUAUGAAAUACUAAUAAUUGAAAUUAAAAUAAAUAUUAAAAAGAUAAAAUAGGAAAAUUAAAAUCUUCAAACCGUCUAAUAAAAUGGGAUAUUUUAUCUAAUAAAACAAGACAAAUAAAAGAGAAAAAAUAAAAACAAAACAGAAAAAAAGUACACGUUUGUAUUUUGUAAAAUUGACCAGUUUCAGAAUAAAUUUCUAUAAUAUAGAAUAAAUAUAACAUAGACAAGAUAGCCUAGUGAAAGAGACUUCAUUUUGCUCAUCAAAGGUUGUGGGUUCAAAUCUUUACAACUUCAAUAUUUGUUUUUAUCAUUUUUAAAUUUUAAUGAUUAAAAAUAAUUAAAAUAAAAAUAAAAAGUCAACUUGACAUUUUAAAUAAAUUAAAAGAAAAAAUCAACUGGGAAAUCUACAUCAUCUAAAAAAGUUAAAAAUAAAAAUGUCAUAAAGGCAAUACCGAAUCAUUUUUCUUAUAAUCGAAUUAAACGAGAUAGAAGAAUCUUUGUAAGAUAAAAAAAGAAUUCAAACUUUUUUUUACACGAAGGUUUUUAAAAAAUCCCAAAUAUAAGAUGAGCAAAAUAAAUAUUAACUCUCUUUUUAUAUAAAGAGACAACACUUUCUUUAAAACAAUGUUUCCCUACACCACUUCCUCGCAACCU
RNAcentral lists this long non-coding RNA (658 nucleotides) under Lathyrus oleraceus (garden pea). RNAcentral describes it as "Pisum sativum (pea) long non-coding RNA (PSAT_LNC039484)". Lineage: Eukaryota; Viridiplantae; Streptophyta; Magnoliopsida; Fabales; Fabaceae. The record is from RNAcentral.